This 328-nucleotide unclassified non-coding RNA is filed under the name soil metagenome. RNAcentral's name for it is "partial contains 5.8S ribosomal RNA, internal transcribed spacer 2, and large subunit ribosomal RNA". The stretch from base 1 to 120 matches the Rfam family "5.8S ribosomal RNA", at positions 35 to 154 of the family's 154-position model. The record is from RNAcentral.
GAUGAAGAACGUAGCGAAAUGCGAUAAGUAAUGUGAAUUGCAGAAUUCAGUGAAUCAUCGAAUUUUUGAACGCACAUUGCGCCCCUUGGUAUUCCGAGGGGCAUGCCUGUUCGAGCGUCAUUAUAACCCUCAAGCUCAGCUUGGUGUUGGGGCCUGCUGCACUGGCAGCCCUUAAAAUCAGUGGCGGCGCCAUCUGGCUCUAAGCGUAGUAAUUCUUCUCGCUAUGGAGUCCUGGUGGAUGCUUGCCAUCAACCCCCAAUUUUUCUAUGGUUGACCUCGGAUCAGGUAGGGAUACCCGCUGAACUUAAGCAUAUCAAUAAGCGGAGGA